Molecule: RNA transcript, 4718 nt
Organism: Vidua macroura (Pin-tailed whydah)
Lineage: Eukaryota; Metazoa; Chordata; Aves; Passeriformes; Viduidae
Gene: NEDD4L
Gene name: NEDD4 like E3 ubiquitin protein ligase
Exons: 29
Source: RefSeq, a predicted model, not a curated record
CCUACCCUAUGUCACUGUGAGUGUAGGAGCGCUGACUGCUCCUGCCCAAUCAUGCCUGGAAUGCUGCUUGCCACUUGGGCUAUUUCUGCUAUCUGUCGCUCCCAGGGCUGCAGUGCUAACCGUUUGGCAGAUGGGACACUUUCUCGGAGUUUAUGUCUUUGGUUUUUAACUUCUGGCAGUGCCUGAAUUGUUGCUGUUCUCCCUCUCCUUUUCUCCUCUCUGUAAAACCAUGGCCCAUCGGCUGCGGUUUCAUUUUGGCUCUGGGAGAAGCAACACAGCCCCCGAAUCGGAGAUCCUUGCCCGGGAGAGAGAAGAUGACUUUUUCAUGGCAUUCCACACCUUGCCAAGAAGAAGCAGCCCUCACGCGUUCUCGCGGCACGGAGCGGAUUAUGGCGGCGAUGGAGAUUUGCACGAAGUGGGCUCCUUGAAAAGGAGCACAUCCAUGUUUAUCCCGCAGCUGCUGAACGGCGUCGACGCACGCCCCACCAGGAGCUCGUCCAUGCAGAUCUCGCUGCAGCGCAAAGCUGCCGACGGCUGCGCCGACGAGUGCGCGGCCCUGGAGUCUCCGGAGGAGACGCUUCCCCGGAAAUUCUCAGACUUCAGGGAGCGUUAUGCAUCCCCUGUUGAAAAGCGCUCUUCUCCGAGCGCUCCACAGGUGACUCCUGAAAGUUCUUCGCCCAGGCUGACGGAAGAGCUGGGGCAGCAGACAGAUGGAACUGUUUGCUGUAAUCGUAGAAUGUUUUGUAGUACUAAUCCACAGAGUGAGGAGGCUCUGCUGACUGCCCAACGAGAAGAAGCAAGUGAAGCGGCUUCAGGUGUAAACAUAAGUGGUGUGAGAAUUCAGCAUCGGGCCUCAAGUGCAGAGGUGCCUCAAGUUACUCUACUUCCCUUUGGUCCUGAGGCUCCAAAUAGUGCUCCCACCUCUGAACCCCGGCGCUGGUCCUUGCAGCAUGUGCCAGAUCAGUCAACAAAUUCAGGGAAAAAGUUCUUUGUUCUCCAGUUACAGCAGCCACAGACAAGCAGUACAGGCGCAGGAGGUGGAGGUAACUUUGGCUUUACUGGAACAAAAGGGGACAGAUUGGUCAGGUACCCUCGGAUACGGCUGGAAAGGAGUACUUCCUAUCCUGUCCAGCCACCAGCAGAAGGAAUUAGCCCCACAGGUGAUGGGCUGAAUUCGGAGCUGCCUGGAAACAGCAGGAACAGGGCAGAAAUACCUAGAAGCAAUUCAGUAGAGCGGAUGCCUCAAGGGCAGGGAUGCUUGUUUAAAAUCAGACCAGAUCAAAACAUGAGGCAGCAGCACUUCAGGAUUCUUGUCACGCGUGGGCCGGAAGAACAAAGUCAGGGUGUUGGUAAGGAGGGUCGUGGCACGCCUGGUCCUACGGCAGCCGGCACCGCAACCAGAGACGACUUCCUGGGCCAGGUGGAUGUGCCGCUCAGUCACCUCCCGACUGAAGACCCAACCAUGGAGAGGCCAUACACAUUUAAGGAUUUCCUCCUCAGACCAAGAAGCCACAAAUCUCGUGUGAAGGGUUUCUUGAGACUGAAGAUGGCGUAUAUGCCCAAAAAUGGUGGCCAAGAGGAAGAAAAUAGUGAUCAGAGGGAUGACUCUGAGCAUGGCUGGGACGUGGUGGAUUCCAGCGAUGCCGCAUCUCAGCGUCAGGAGGAGCUGCCGCCUCCUCCGCUGCCUCCUGGGUGGGAAGAGAAGGUGGACAACCUGGGGCGGACUUACUACGUGAACCACAACAACAGGAGCACCCAGUGGCACCGGCCCAGCCUCGUCGACGUGGGAUCCGAGUCAGAUAACAAUAUCAGACAGAUAAACCAAGAGGCAGCUCACAGGCGGUUCCGCUCUCGGCGCCACAUCAGUGAGGAUUUGGAGCCAGAGCCUGUGGAGAGUGGAGACAUUCCUGAGCCUUGGGAAACCAUUUCAGAGGAGGCAAGUGCCAGUGGGGAUUCCUUAAGCUUGUCACUGCCACCUCCUCCUGCAUCUCCAGUGUCCCGGACCAGUCCUCAGGAGCUGUCUGAGGAGCUGAGCAGAAGACUCCAGGUCACUCCUGAUUCCAAUGGGGAACAACUCAGCUCUUUGAUUCAAAGAGAACCUUCUUCACGACUGAGGUCCUGCAGUGUGACAGACACAGUCGCUGAACAGUCCCAGUUAUCCCUGCAGAAUGGUCCCUCUAGGAGAGCUCGUUCUUCAACUGUCACAGGGGGAGAGGAGCCAACGCCUUCUGUGGCUUACGUGCACACCACGCCGGGCUUACCUUCGGGCUGGGAGGAGCGCAAGGACGCCAAGGGCCGCACCUACUACGUCAACCACAACAACCGGACCACAACGUGGACACGGCCCAUCAUGCAGCUCGCCGAGGACGGGAUGGUGGGGCCGGGCACGAGCAGCAGCAACCACCUGAGCGAGCCGCAGAUCCGGCGGCCCCGCAGCCUCAGCUCCCCCACUGUCACCCUGUCAGCGCCGCUCGAGGGCAUGAAGGACUCUCCGGUGCGCAGGGCGGUGAAGGACACCCUGUCCAACCCUCAGUCCCCACAGCCAUCCCCCUACAACUCCCCCAAGCCCCAGCACAAGGGGGCCCAGAGCUUCCUGCCCCCGGGCUGGGAGAUGCGCAUCGCCCCGAACGGCCGCCCCUUCUUCAUCGACCACAACACCAAGACCACCACCUGGGAGGAUCCACGGCUGAAGUUUCCAGUGCAUUUGAGAUCCAAAGCAUCUCUGAACCCCAAUGACUUGGGCCCUCUUCCUCCUGGCUGGGAGGAAAGAAUACACCUGGAUGGAAGAACAUUUUAUAUAGACCAUAGAAGCCAGGUGUUGAUAUGUGGAGACAUUGAUACCAGAGACUUAGUGCCCUCCUACGAUAAUAAAAUUACCCAGUGGGAAGACCCCAGGCUGCAGAACCCUGCCAUCACGGGCCCAGCAGUGCCGUACUCCAGGGAGUUCAAGCAGAAAUACGACUACUUCCGCAAGAAGUUAAAGAAACCUGCUGACAUACCCAACAGAUUUGAGAUGAAAUUACACAGAAAUAACAUCUUUGAGGAGUCCUACAGAAGAAUCAUGUCUGUGAAGAGACCUGAUGUACUAAAAGCCAGGCUCUGGAUUGAAUUUGAGUCAGAAAAAGGACUUGACUAUGGAGGUGUGGCCAGAGAAUGGUUUUUUCUCUUGUCCAAGGAGAUGUUUAACCCUUACUAUGGUCUCUUUGAAUACUCAGCAACGGACAACUAUACACUUCAGAUUAAUCCUAAUUCAGGUCUCUGUAACGAAGACCAUCUAUCAUACUUCACCUUCAUUGGCCGGGUGGCCGGCCUGGCUGUGUACCAUGGGAAGCUGCUGGACGGCUUCUUCAUCAGACCUUUCUACAAGAUGAUGCUGGGGAAGCCCAUAACGCUGAAGGACAUGGAAUCAGUGGAUAGUGAAUACUACAACUCUCUGAAGUGGAUCCUGGAAAAUGACCCUACGGAGCUGGAUCUCAUGUUUUGCAUAGACGAGGAAAACUUUGGACAGACAUAUCAAGUGGACCUGAAGCCCAAUGGGUCUGAAAUCAUGGUAACAAAUGAAAACAAGCGGGAAUACAUUGACCUGGUCAUCCAGUGGCGGUUUGUCAACAGAGUGCAGAAACAAAUGAAUGCCUUUCUGGAGGGAUUCACAGAACUGCUUCCUAUUGAUCUGAUUAAAAUUUUUGAUGAAAAUGAACUGGAGUUACUGAUGUGUGGCCUUGGUGACGUCGAUGUCAAUGACUGGAGACAACACACCAUCUACAAAAAUGGUUACUGCCCAAAUCAUCCAGUUAUCCAGUGGUUCUGGAAGGCUGUUCUGCUGAUGGAUGCUGAGAAACGGAUCCGGCUGCUGCAGUUUGUGACCGGGACGUCACGCGUGCCUAUGAACGGAUUUGCUGAACUUUAUGGUUCAAAUGGUCCUCAGCUGUUUACAAUAGAGCAGUGGGGAAGUCCUGACAAGCUGCCCCGAGCUCACACCUGCUUUAACCGCCUAGACUUACCUCUGUAUGAAUCUUUCGAGGACCUGCGGGAGAAGCUCCUCAUGGCUGUGGAGAAUGCCCAAGGGUUUGAAGGGGUGGAUUAACUUUGCAGCACCCGUUCCCUCUCCAAGCACGUUCUGCUGGCUUUGGCACCUGCCCGAGGGACUCCGAGGGCUUGUGGCAUAGCAGCCGCCCGGCGCUGGGCUCUGGAGCAAAGCCCGGCAGAGCGGGGGCCGAGCCCCGAGGCUGGGACUGUCACCUGGGGUGGCCUUGCUGAUGUUCCCGCACCAGUUGCGAACUGAUCACAUUUCAGCAGGACUUACUCUAUUUAUGUUGUGCCUCUGUAGGCAAAGCCCUUAAUAAAUAUUUUACACAAUUUCUAAUGACAAUGAAUGGAAUUAAUCAUUUUACAGUGCAGUGACAUGGUGACAGCACUGCUGGAGCUGGUUCCACUGACCUGCAGCUCUGCCCCACCUGUUCCCCAGCAUCCAAGAAAGAUGACAUCACUUGCCAAAACAAACUUCCACCUCAUCGCCAACAGUUUUUGAGCCCUGGCCUUACCUGUGUGUCCAGCCUGCAUCCAGCCACCCUGCGGAGCCUUGGAUACAGGGUCACCCAGCUGGGAGGAAGCCUCACUGCCAGUAGCAUUCAGCAGUUAUGGUCCCAGUCCUGAGGAAGAUUAGGGCAGUACUUGAAUGCAGUUCAAGAUUCCUUCUCCAUUAAAUAUGCUUCCUGACA